This 495-nucleotide ribosomal RNA is filed under the name uncultured bacterium. RNAcentral describes it as "partial 16S ribosomal RNA". It matches the Rfam family "Bacterial small subunit ribosomal RNA", at positions 28 to 507 of the family's 1533-position model. The record is from RNAcentral.
GACGAACGCUGGCGGCGUGCCUAAUACAUGCAAGUCGAACGCUGAAGGAGGAGCUUGCUUCUCUGGAUGAGUUGCGAACGGGUGAGUAACGCGUAGGUAACCUGCCUGGUAGCGGGGGAUAACUAUUGGAAACGAUAGCUAAUACCGCAUAAGAGUAGAUGUUGCAUGACAUUUGCUUAAAAGGUGCAAUUGCAUCACUACCAGAUGGACCUGCGUUGUAUUAGCUAGUUGGUGGGGUAACGGCUCACCAAGGCGACGAUACAUAGCCGACCUGAGAGGGUGAUCGGCCACACUGGGACUGGGACGCGGCCCAGACUCCUACGGGAGGCAGCAGGAGGGAAUCUUCGGCAAUGGACGGAAGUCUGACCGAGCAACGCCGCGGGAGUGAAGAAGGUUUUCGGAUCGUAAAGCUCUGUUGUAAGAGAAGAACGAGUGUGAGAGUGGAAAGUUCACACUGUGACGGUAUCUUACCAGAAAGGGACGGCUAACUACGUG